This 60-nucleotide transfer RNA is filed under the name Coemansia sp. RSA 2703. Its description in RNAcentral is "tRNA-Lys". It matches the Rfam family "tRNA", at positions 7 to 64 of the family's 71-position model. Rfam says of the family: Transfer RNA (tRNA) molecules are approximately 80 nucleotides in length. Lineage: Eukaryota; Fungi; Kickxellomycota; Kickxellomycetes; Kickxellales; Kickxellaceae. The record is from RNAcentral.
UUAGCUCAAUCGGUAGAGCGUGAGACUCUUAAUCUCAAGGUUGCGGGUUCGACCCCCGCA